This 253-nucleotide ribosomal RNA is filed under the name uncultured bacterium. Its description in RNAcentral is "partial 16S ribosomal RNA". It matches the Rfam family "Bacterial small subunit ribosomal RNA", at positions 524 to 776 of the family's 1533-position model. The record is from RNAcentral.
UACAGAGGGUGCAAGCGUUAAUCGGAAUUACUGGGCGUAAAGCGCACGUAGGCGGCUUGGUAAGUUGGGUGUGAAAUCCCCGAGCUUAACUUGGGAAUUGCAUUCAAGACUGCCUUGCUAGAGUGUGGGAGAGGGAAGCGGAAUUCCAGGUGUAGCGGUGAAAUGCGUAGAUAUCUGGAGGAACAUCAGUGGCGAAGGCGGCUUUCUGGCCCAACACUGACGCUGAGGUGCGAAAGCGUGGGGAGCAAACAGG